CAGGGAGUCGUAAAAUACCGGGAGGCGACACGCCACACAUUUCACCAUCCGAGGAUUGCCGCACUCGACCCGCGAAAUUUGAAGCGUGAUUGAAACGUCGUCGUCAUCUUCUUUUUCUCAAUUGUUUUUGCUAUAUGCUUCGAGGCUAUUCUGGAUCUCCAGAGCGAAAGCUGGUUGUUUCUGAUACGUACCACGCAUUACCUUAGGUUGAGCCGUGGCUUUUAAUUUUUUUUGGAAGUUCACUGCUCUGGAGACGACGGAAUGUCAAGGUAAGUUAUUCACGAAAUGUACUCAAAUUUGAAUUGAGUCAAUGCGAAUGACACCCUGUUUUCGGACUAGUUCUCCACUAAACACACCAUGCCCAUGGCCCCUUCAUGUUGUCCAAGUUCCAUUCUAGGUUUGUGUGAAGUUUCGAGAUGAAGUUCGACGAUGUACUCACCUUUCCAUGGAAGGGAAAAAAAAGUAGCAUAUCAAACAGAAUCCAUGCAGUAUUUGAUGCCACUAUCCUCAUUCUUCUGCAUUCAAAGUGUUUCACAUCUAUAUGGCCCAUGAACUGCAAACAAUAUUUGUCAUUUCUUAACUGUUCAUAGCUGUUCAUAACUGUUCUGAACACAUUGCCUUCAGGAAACGUAAGGCCGAGUCGCCUCACCGACUGAGCAAAGUUCUCUGCGACGAAAGUCACACUAUCGGCGAAUGCACUCAAGAGCUUCCGAGCCACGCCGAGUCACCUGACCAACUGAAGAAGGUUCUGUGCGACGAAAGUCACACUAUCGGCGAAUGCACUCAAGGUGAAUACCCUGUGGACUGCUUAUACCACUUAUCACAGAAGCACACACACACACACACACACACACACACACACACACACACACAAGCGCAAAAUUCACAUAUCACUGGUUCAGUUGUUUUUAUCUGUGUCGUAUUUUGUCUUAUACAGAGCUUCCGAGCCACGCCGAGUCACCUGACCAACUGAAGAAGGUUCUGUGCGACGAAAGUCACACUAUCGGCGAAUGCACUCAAGGUGAAUACCCUGUGGACUGCUUAUACCACUUAUCACAGAAGCACACACACACACACACACACACACACACACACACACACACACACACACACACAUACACAUAUCACUGGUUCAGUUGUUUUUAUCUGUCUUCUUUUGUCUUAUACAGAGCUUCCGACCCAGACCAAGUCACAUGACCGACUGAGCAAAGUUCUGUGCAACGAAAGUCACACUAUCGGCGAAUGCACUCAAGAGCUUACAACCCACGAGGAGAGAGCGGAGAAAUGCUCGGCCCCUGGCAAUGACUCGAACGCAACAACUGGGGCACCACUGUCUUGGCGUGGUUCAGUACCACCCUCAGUCCGCGAAAUCCUGGUCUACGCGGUCCUGGUCUACAGUGAUAGUCAGGAACCGUAUAGAGCUCGGCUUCCGUCCAGCAAGCUCUACUCCUCUGCUGUGAUGGUCGCCAACCAGUUCCUCCAGUCGAGGGAACAAAUUAGUGCCAUUCAGCUAUCGAAUUAUUUCAACCGAAUCAAGAAGCCUGGGAACUACGGAAAAUAUCUUGGACGCCUGCGGACAACACGCUUCCGCACCAUCAUAUCGUCCGUCGUGGAAUCGUGCAACACGCAGUUUCGGAAGGCAGACAGCAAGUCUCUAGAUGGCGGCGAGGUGUUGGAGGUGAGGAAAGUCGUUGAGGGUGCUAUCAGCCAGUGGGCCUCACCACCCACACCCCCCACACCCUCCACAUCACCUACACCUGCUGCCAUGGACUUCAAUGGCAUUGCGGCGCGCAUCAACAGCAUGGCACGCUGGAAGGCAAUUGAAGACGAUGACCUAAAGGCACACUAUUUUAGCCCAAGGCCUGGCUGUCCCCAGCUAACUGUACUGGUGAAGAGAGACUUCACAUUCCAAGUGUUGAUGCAAAGUAAGAUCGUUGACAUGACCAGCAUAUGUAAGCCUCCGGAAAAGCUUCUCACCUGUGAAGAUAUAGAGACCGUCGUGUUAGCCAUCGAGAGAGCCGAUAAUUGCCAGGGCUGCAGAUACGACAAAUACAAAGAUUGGAUUGAAAACCGGCUCGAUGGUGGAACGUUCAAGAAUUCGUCUGGUGCGGUAGUUGGAAAACUCGAAACAUGUGAACCAACACCAUGCAUACGAACAGUAGCAUGUCCUAUACUCGUACCUGCUG
This is a long non-coding RNA of Sycon ciliatum, 2186 nucleotides long. RefSeq lists it as uncharacterized. The transcript has 3 exons. The record is from RefSeq and is a predicted model, not a curated record. Lineage: Eukaryota; Metazoa; Porifera; Calcarea; Leucosolenida; Sycettidae.